GCUGGGCGGGCGCGCCGGGCCUGGGGAAGGGGCGGGUGCGGGGACCCGAUGCGCGGGAGCGGAGGCCGAGAUGGCUUCGGCGGGAGGCGAAGACUGCGAGAGCCCCGCGCCGGAGGCCGACCGUCCGCACCAGCGGCCCUUCCUGAUAGGGGUGAGCGGCGGCACUGCCAGCGGGAAGUCGACCGUGUGUGAGAAGAUCAUGGAGUUGCUGGGACAGAACGAGGUGGAACAGCGGCAGCGGAAGGUGGUCAUCCUGAGCCAGGACAGGUUCUACAAGGUCCUGACGGCAGAGCAGAAGGCCAAGGCCUUGAAAGGACAGUACAAUUUUGACCACCCAGAUGCCUUUGAUAAUGAUUUGAUGCACAGGACUCUGAAGAACAUCGUGGAGGGCAAAACGGUGGAGGUGCCGACCUAUGAUUUUGUGACACACUCAAGGUUACCAGAGACCACGGUGGUCUACCCUGCGGACGUGGUUCUGUUUGAGGGCAUCUUGGUGUUCUACAGCCAGGAGAUCCGGGACAUGUUCCACCUGCGCCUCUUCGUGGACACCGACUCCGACGUCAGGCUGUCUCGAAGAGGUAAGGCGGCCGCGGGCCUCCGUGCCUGCCUGGCCGAGGCUGGCGGCAGGUCCUGAGGUCUGAAGCACGCCUGCCCCUUGCCGCUGCAGUUCUCCGGGACGUGCGCCGAGGGAGGGACCUGGAGCAGAUUCUGACGCAGUACACCACCUUCGUGAAGCCGGCCUUCGAGGAGUUCUGCCUGCCGACAAAGAAGUAUGCCGACGUGAUCAUCCCGCGA
Molecule: small RNA, 795 nt
Filed under: Pan troglodytes (chimpanzee)
Lineage: Eukaryota; Metazoa; Chordata; Mammalia; Primates; Hominidae
Description: processed transcript
Source: RNAcentral